This 433-nucleotide ribosomal RNA is filed under the name uncultured bacterium. RNAcentral describes it as "partial 16S ribosomal RNA". It matches the Rfam family "Bacterial small subunit ribosomal RNA", at positions 29 to 507 of the family's 1533-position model. The record is from RNAcentral.
AGCGAACGCUGGCGGCAGGCCUAACACAUGCAAGUCGAACGAACUCUUCGGAGUUAGUGGCGGACGGGUGAGUAACACGUGGGAACGUGCCUUUUGGUUCGGAAUAACUCAGGGAAACUUGUGCUAAUACCGAAUGUGCCCUUCGGGGGAAAGAUUUAUCGCCAUUAGAGCGGCCCGCGUCUGAUUAGCUAGUUGGUGAGGUAACGGCUCACCAAGGCGACGAUCAGUAGCUGGUCUGAGAGGAUGACCAGCCACACUGGGACUGAGACACGGCCCAGACUCCUACGGGAGGCAGCAGAGGGGAAUCUUGCGCAAUGGGCGAAAGCCUGACGCAGCCAUGCCGCGUGAAUGAUGAAGGUCUUAGGAUUGUAAAAUUCUUUCACCGGGGACGAUAAUGACGGUACCCGGAGAAGAAGCCCCGGCUAACUUCGUG